Molecule: ribosomal RNA, 449 nt
Filed under: uncultured bacterium
Lineage: Bacteria
Description: bacterial SSU rRNA
Rfam family: Bacterial small subunit ribosomal RNA
Source: RNAcentral
GUGGGGAAUCUUGCGCAAUGGGCGAAAGCCUGACGCAGCGACGCCGCGUGGGUGAUGAAGGCCUUCGGGUUGUAAAGCCCUGUGGGGAGGGACGAAUAACGACGGGCUAAUACCCCGCCGGAUGACGGUACCUCCUUAGCAAGCACCGGCUAACUCUGUGCCAGCAGCCGCGGUAAGACAGAGGGUGCAAACGUUGUUCGGAAUUACUGGGCGUAAAGCGCGUGUAGGCGGUUGGGUAAGUCGGAUGUGAAAGCCCCGGGCUCAACCCGGGAAGUGCAUUCGAUACUACUUGGCUAGAGUACUGGAGAGGAUGGUGGAACUCUCGGUGUAGAGGUGAAAUUCGUAGAUAUCGAGAAGAACACCGGCGGCGAAGGCGGCCAUCUGGACAGAUACUGACGCUGAGACGCGAAAGCGUGGGGAGCAAACAGGAUUAGAAACCCGGGUAGUCC